Schizosaccharomyces pombe (fission yeast) is the source of this 205-nucleotide non-coding RNA. NCBI's taxonomy places the organism in Eukaryota, Fungi, Ascomycota, Schizosaccharomycetes, Schizosaccharomycetales, Schizosaccharomycetaceae. The record is from the annotation of a GenBank genome assembly.
UGGGGAGAUGGCCAUUACCAAUUUUUAAAUUCGAAGAGUCAGCAUUGAGUUUGAACAAGGUAGAAGUUAGAUUUUUUGAGGAUAAAAAUUGAAGCAUACUUUUAAAAAACUGUGCAGCUGUUAAGUAGGUAUUCAAAACAUUUCCAGCAGGAAGCCCUGUUGAACUCAUAAGAAGAGCCAUUAGUACAUACCAUUCUAACAAACC